CAGAUUUGCUUCAUCCAGUGUACCUGCCCUUCACUUUGCAAGUAUGCAUCAUCCCAGCCUACAAAGUAACAAAGAAGUUCUAGUGACUUCCGUGAAAGCAUCCAUUGCCUUUGUGGCUUUCCAUUUUUUGUGAAUUCUAUAGCUUGAGGUGUUAACUGUUCAUUUUGUUUAGCUUCUGCUGGCUCCAAAGAAGAACUCUGUUACCUGCAGCCUCUCCUGGGUUUGAGUGGAGAUGGUGUGUAGAUCGGCGGGGGUUUCUUGAUGGAGCUACUGAAGUUACCAUUUACAGAUGCCUCCCAGCAGCCUUAAUGACUGUUGCCAAGAAAAUGCUCAGCCAUCCCCCAAUAGCAGCCACAGGGCAAAGCCAGAAAGGGUGAGUUUUUACCCUUCCUAGCCUUUCUAACAUGAAUUCUUCCCAACAAGGAAUCUAAAGAACAGUGUGAACUGAAGGGAUCCUAUGAGACAUUAAAAUCACAUCUGAGAGCCCUGGAAAGAAAUUUGGAUUUGCAUUCUAAAUAUUCCUGAUCCACUUGUUUGUUGCUUGGCUGCUUUAUAUUUUCCAACGUCAAAAUCAGAAGAGCCAGACACUCAUUAUUCAGAGAACUCUUCUGAAUACCAGUUUAUGGAUGAAAUAGACAGGGCUAACACAUAUAAAAUAGAAUGAAAUUUAUUCCCGGAGGCUAAUGAACCUUUGUUUGCUAUUUUAAUAUGCUGUGCUUCCUGGGUCAAAUUAAUCUCAAACGUGUGUUAGUAUAAGAUUGCUAAGUGUAGAUCACUCUAAAGACACGGGAGGCAUUUGAAAUCCAGAUAAUCCUAGCAUAUAGACAUAAGAAACAUAACCAAAGAAAAAUAAGGGAUUACUUUGAAGUCUACCCAAAUCAAGUUCUCUAACUCUCCCAAACAUUGUCUACAUAUAUAGAUCACAAGGAACAGCAACAUUCCAAAUAAUCUGGACACUAGAAAAGGCAGCUCCUAUAAAAUUCAAUGCCAACAAAAGGAGGAAAUAUUACUUUUUUUCCUUUAAUGCGGCUAUGUUGACA
RNAcentral lists this long non-coding RNA (1040 nucleotides) under Vulpes vulpes (red fox). Its description in RNAcentral is "lncRNA (ENSVVUG00000027748.1)". The record is from RNAcentral. Lineage: Eukaryota; Metazoa; Chordata; Mammalia; Carnivora; Canidae.